RNAcentral lists this ribosomal RNA (980 nucleotides) under Dissophora globulifera. RNAcentral's name for it is "eukaryotic LSU rRNA". It matches the Rfam family "Eukaryotic large subunit ribosomal RNA", at positions 92 to 933 of the family's 3401-position model. The record is from RNAcentral. Lineage: Eukaryota; Fungi; Mortierellomycota; Mortierellomycetes; Mortierellales; Mortierellaceae.
AGUGAAGCGGGAUGAGCUCAAAUUUAAAAUCUGGCUGGUUUACCAGUCCGAGUUGUAGUUUAAAGAAGCGUUUUCGGUGGCAGGCCGGGUAUAAAUCCUUUGGAACAGGGUAUCAUAGAGGGUGAGAAUCCCGUCUUUGACUCGGCUGAUGUUACUAUGUGAUACGUUUUCAAAGAGUCGAGUUGUUUGGGAAUGCAGCUCAAAAUGGGUGGUAAAUUUCAUCUAAGGCUAAAUAUUGGCGAGAGACCGAUAGCGAACAAGUACCGUGAGGGAAAGAUGAAAAGAACUUUGAAAAGAGAGUUAAACAGUGCGUGAAAUUGUUGAAAGGGAAACGUUUGACACCAGCUAUGUAGGCGGAAAAUCAGUCAAGCGCAGUGAGGGGCUGGUGUUUGUCCGGACCGCAAGGCCGGCGGAUAUCUCAUCUUUGCUGUGGGUGAUGCACUUUUUCGUUCGCAGGUCAACAUCAGUUUCGCUUGCUGGACAAAACCCCGAGAGAAGGUAGCAGCUUUGGCUGUGUUAUAGCUCUGGGGCGAUACAGUGGGUGGGACUGAGGAUUCGCAGUGUGUGCUCUCGGGCAAGGCUGACUGGGUGCUCUGGGGUCGUUUGGCGUACAAUGCUUGCAUUUUGCGUCUUGUCUUCUUCAGACUCGCUUAGUUCGGCUCUUCCACGCUUAGGAUGUUGACUUAAUGGUUUUAAACGACCCGUCUUGAAACACGGACCAAGGAGUCUAACAUGCAUGCAAGUGUUUGGGUGGCAAACCCAUGCGCGUAAUGAAAGUGAACGUAGGUGCGAUCCGCAAGGUGCAGCAUCGACCGAUCUUGAUAUUUUUGGAUAGAUUUGAGUAAGAGCAUGUAUGCUGGGACCCGAAAGAUGGUGAACUAUGCCUGAAUAGGGUGAAGCCAGAGGAAACGCUGGUGGAGGCUCGUAGCGAUUCUGACGUGCAAAUCGAUCGUCAAAUUUGGGUAUAGGGCGAAAGACUA